This 70-nucleotide transfer RNA is filed under the name Camelus bactrianus (Bactrian camel). It matches the Rfam family "tRNA". From Rfam's summary of the family: Transfer RNA (tRNA) molecules are approximately 80 nucleotides in length. Their secondary structure includes four short double-helical elements and three loops (D, anti-codon, and T loops). Further hydrogen bonds mediate the characteristic L-shaped molecular structure. tRNAs have two regions of fundamental functional importance: the anti-codon, which is responsible for specific mRNA codon recognition, and the 3' end, to which the tRNAs corresponding amino acid is attached (by aminoacyl-tRNA synthetases). tRNAs cope with the degeneracy of the genetic code in two manners: having more than one tRNA (with a specific anti-codon) for a particular amino acid; and 'wobble' base-pairing, i.e. permitting non-standard base-pairing at the 3rd anti-codon position. RNAcentral also lists the same sequence under 2 other names. Lineage: Eukaryota; Metazoa; Chordata; Mammalia; Artiodactyla; Camelidae. The record is from Rfam by way of RNAcentral.
GGUAAUAGCUCAGUGGUAGAGCGCAUGCUUAGCAUGCACAAGGUCCUGGGUUCAAUACCUAGUACUUCCA